Molecule: long non-coding RNA, 496 nt
Organism: Seriola aureovittata
Lineage: Eukaryota; Metazoa; Chordata; Actinopteri; Carangiformes; Carangidae
Exons: 4
Source: RefSeq, a predicted model, not a curated record
GUUCGAUGCCAGCAAGAGAUAUUUUGCAAAAAUAAACCAUCAGAAGUUUAACAUUAACCGAUCCACAGUCCUGGAUGGAGCUAUCAGAGAUUUUAAAUGAGGGACAUAUGAGGGAGUACCUGAAGAGGCUGUGGAUUUAGGUGGACCAAGAAGAGAAUUUCUAAGACUGCUAAUGGAAGCUUUGCCCCUAUCUCCAAUGUUUGAGGGAGAAGAAGGAAAAAUGAACCUGGCCUUCAACAUUACUGCUGCCCUGGUUGACAGCCUCUUCACCAUCCACCUAUAACCAGUUGGCAGCAACAGAAGACGUGCUGAAGAAGUUGUUCCUUUCUGGAGAGACUACCUAACAGAUGCAGAAGAGAUGCAACUACAGCCUCAGCAAGCCGACGUCUGUUACAAAAGAUGUUGAGACAACGAUGGUACAAUAACAGGCAAAAUUGAGUCCAGGAUUGUGCAUGACUGCAAACAUGCAGCAGAAUGGGUGGAAAUGAACCGGCAA